This 588-nucleotide small RNA is filed under the name Pan troglodytes (chimpanzee). Its description in RNAcentral is "processed transcript". Lineage: Eukaryota; Metazoa; Chordata; Mammalia; Primates; Hominidae. The record is from RNAcentral.
GCGCCCAAAGCCGACGUGGAGGUGAUGCGCGGGAGCACAGAUCCGGGGCAGUGCGCUGCGCAGAGGCGCGCGGCGAAGCCGAGUGGGCGCGGGAGUGACGUCACGGCGCGCGACGUGGAGGCGGGGCAACUCGCUGAUGGCGCCGGUAGGCCGCUGGCAGAAGGGCCGCGACCUCACCUGGUACGCCAAGGGCCGGGCGCCAUGCGCGGGCCCGAGCCGCGAGGAGGAACUGGCAGCCGUGCGGGAGGCGGAGCGAGAGGCGCUGCUGGCCGCCCUUGGCUACAAGAACGUGAAGAAGCAGCCCACGGGCCUGAGCAAGGAGGACUUCGCGGAGGUCUGCAAGCGGGAAGGAGGCGACCCCGAGGAGAAGGGCGUGGACCGGCUGCUGGGGCUGGGGAGCGCCAGUGGCUCCGUGGGCCGCGUGGCGAUGUCCCGAGAGGACAAGGAGGCCGCCAAACUGGGGCUGUCUGUAUUCACGCAUCACCGCGUAGAGAGCGGCGGGCCCGGGACCUCGGCAGCCUCGGCCAGGAGGAAGCCGCGGGCGGAGGAUCAGACGGAAAGCAGGUGAGGCUGUGCCAACUGGGCUAG